RNAcentral lists this ribosomal RNA (615 nucleotides) under uncultured archaeon. RNAcentral's name for it is "bacterial SSU rRNA". It matches the Rfam family "Archaeal small subunit ribosomal RNA", at positions 244 to 859 of the family's 1478-position model. The record is from RNAcentral.
ACGGCUUACCAAGCCAUUGAUCGGUACGGGUUGUGAGAGCAAGAGCCCGGAGAUGGAACCUGAGACAAGGUUCCAGGCCCUACGGGGUGCAGCAGGCGCGAAACCUCCGCAAUGUGAGAAAUCGCGACGGGGGGAUCCCAAGUGCCAUUCUUAACGGGAUGGCUUUUCAUUAGUGUAAAGAGCUUUUGGAAUAAGGGCUGGGCAAGACCGGUGCCAGCCGCCGCGGUAACACCGGCAGCUCUAGUGGUAGCAGUUUUUAUUGGGCCUAAAGCGUCCGUAGCCGGUUUAAUAAGUCUCUGGUGAAAUCCUGUAGCUUAACUGUGGGAAUUGCUGGAGAUACUAUUAGACUUGAGACCGGGAGAGGUUAGAGGUACUCCCAGGGUAGAGGUGAAAUUCUGUAAUCCUGGGAGGACCGCCUGUUGCGAAGGCGUCUAACUGGAACGGUUCUGACGGUGAGGGACGAAAGUUAGGGGCGCGAACCGGAUUAGAUACCCGGGUAGUCCUAACUGUAAACGAUGCGGACUUGGUGUUGGGGUGGCUUUGAGCUGCUCCAGUGCCGAAGGGAAGCUGUUAAGUCCGCCGCCUGGGAAGUACGGUCGCAAGACUGAAACUUAA